CUGCUGCCUCCCGUAGGAGUCUGGGCCGUGUCUCAGUCCCAGUGUGGGGGGCCUUCCUCUCAGAACCCCUACGCAUCGUCGCCACGGUGGGCCGUCACCCCGCCGUCUAGCUAAUGCGCCGCAUGCCCAUCCGCCACCGGAUCGCUCCUUUGGCCACCGGAGGAUGCCCUCCGGUGGCGUCACGGGGUAUUAGGCCGCGUUUCCGCGGGUUAUCCCCCUGUGGUGGCCAGGUUGCAUACGUGUUACUCACCCGUGCGCCGGUCGCCGGCGGG
This 272-nucleotide ribosomal RNA is filed under the name uncultured bacterium. RNAcentral's name for it is "partial 16S ribosomal RNA". The record is from RNAcentral.